This is a non-coding RNA of Mastigocoleus testarum BC008, 77 nucleotides long. The record is from Rfam. Lineage: Bacteria; Bacillati; Cyanobacteriota; Cyanophyceae; Nostocales; Hapalosiphonaceae.
AGGAGCCGGAUGAUGCGAAAGUAUCAAGUCCGGUUUUGAAGCCGAGUCGGAAGGGUGACCUUCCGGCUUAGGUUAAC